This 661-nucleotide ribosomal RNA is filed under the name uncultured bacterium. RNAcentral describes it as "bacterial SSU rRNA". The stretch from base 1 to 510 matches the Rfam family "Bacterial small subunit ribosomal RNA", at positions 338 to 873 of the family's 1533-position model. The record is from RNAcentral.
CCUACGGGAGGCAGCAGUAGGGAAUAUUGGGCAAUGGUGGAGACACUGACCCAGCCAUGCCGCGUGCAGGAAGAAGGCGCUACGCGUUGUAAACUGCUUCUUUUCGGGAAGAAAAAGCUUCUGCGGAAGUCACUGACGGUACCGAAGGAAUCAGCACCGGCUAACUCCGUGCCAGCAGCCGCGGUAAUACGGAGGGUGCAAGCGUUGUCCGGAUUCAUUGGGUUUAAAGGGUGCGCAGGCGGGACAUUAAGUCAGGGGUGAAAGACGGUUGCUCAACAAUCGCAGUGCCUUUGAUACUGGUGUUCUUGGGUAACCUUGAGGUAGGCGGAAUGGGUGGUGUAGCGGUGAAAUGCAUAGAUACCACCCAGAACUCCGAUUGCGAAGGCAGCCUACUGGAGGUCAACCGACGCUCAGGCACGAAAGCGUGGGGAUCAAACAGGAUUAGAUACCCUGGUAGUCCACGCCGUAAACGAUGAUCACUCGCUGUGGGGUCGGCGAUGCCGUCCCGCCGGUCCGUUACGUACGAACGUACGGUUAACGUUAGAGUCCGACCGUCGGGGUAGGGUGGCGGCGUCCGUCGAAGGGUUAGGUAAACGUUACGAAAGUAGAAGUUAGACGGCGUUGAGACGUUGCCGACGGACGACGACGAGGGGAGGUUAGG